AACUUAUCAAGAGUGGUGGAGGGACUGGCCCAAUGAAACCCGGCAACCAGUAUAUACUAUGUUUUAGUGUAUACAAUGGUGCUAAUUCCUGCAGCAUAAGCUGGAAGAUAAGGA
RNAcentral lists this non-coding RNA (114 nucleotides) under Clostridium colicanis DSM 13634. RNAcentral describes it as "SAM riboswitch aptamer (S box leader)". It matches the Rfam family "SAM riboswitch aptamer (S box leader)". From Rfam's summary of the family: The SAM riboswitch is found upstream of a number of genes which code for proteins involved in methionine or cysteine biosynthesis in Gram-positive bacteria. The record is from Rfam by way of RNAcentral. Lineage: Bacteria; Bacillati; Bacillota; Clostridia; Eubacteriales; Clostridiaceae.